UGGGGAAUCUUGCACAAUGGGCGGAAGCCUGAUGCAGCGACGCCGCGUGCGGGACGAAGGCCUUCGGGCUGUAAACCGCUUUCAGCAGGGACGAGGCGAAAGUGACGGUACCUGCAGAAGAAGCCCCGGCUAACUACGUGCCAGCAGCCGCGGUAAUACGUAGGGGGCAAGCGUUAUCCGGAUUCAUUGGGCGUAAAGCGCGCGUAGGCGGCCAGCCUGGUCGGGAGUCAAAUCCGGGGGCUCAACCCCCGUCCGCUCCCGAUACCGGCCGGCUUGAGUCUGGCAGGGGAAGGCGGAAUUCCCGGUGUAGCGGUGGAAUGCGCAGAUAUCGGGAAGAACACCGGUGGCGAAGGCGGCCUUCUGGGCCACGACUGACGCUGAGGCGCGAAAGCUAGGGGAGCGAACAGGA
RNAcentral lists this ribosomal RNA (409 nucleotides) under uncultured bacterium. RNAcentral's name for it is "bacterial SSU rRNA". It matches the Rfam family "Bacterial small subunit ribosomal RNA", at positions 355 to 777 of the family's 1533-position model. The record is from RNAcentral.